Molecule: ribosomal RNA, 343 nt
Filed under: uncultured fungus
Lineage: Eukaryota; Fungi
Description: SSU rRNA
Rfam family: Eukaryotic small subunit ribosomal RNA
Source: RNAcentral
GGUUCAUUCAAAUUUCUGCCCUAUCAACUUUCGACGGCUGGGUCUUGGCCAGCCAUGGUGACAACGGGUAACGGAGGGUUAGGGCUCGACCCGGAGAAGGAGCCUGAGAAACGGCUACUACAUCCAAGGAAGGCAGCAGGCGCGCAAAUUACCCAAUCCCGACCGGGGAGGUAGUGACAAUACAUACUGAUACAGGGCUCUUUUGGGUCUUGUAAUUGGAAUGAGUACAAUUUAAAUCCCUUAACGAGGAACAAUUGGAGGGCAAGUCUGGUGCCAGCAGCCGCGGUAAUUCCAGCUCCAAUAGCGUAUAUUAAAGUUGUUGCGGUUAAAAAGCUCGUAGUUG